RNAcentral lists this ribosomal RNA (465 nucleotides) under uncultured bacterium. Its description in RNAcentral is "partial 16S ribosomal RNA". It matches the Rfam family "Bacterial small subunit ribosomal RNA", at positions 28 to 507 of the family's 1533-position model. The record is from RNAcentral.
GAUGAACGCUGGCGGCGUGCUUAACACAUGCAAGUCGAACGGAAAGGCUCCUGCUUGCAGGGGUACUCGAGUGGCGAACGGGUGAGUAACACGUGGGUGAUCUGCCCUGCACUUCGGGAUAAGCCUGGGAAACUGGGUCUAAUACCGGAUAGGACCACAUUUUGGAUGGUGUGGUGGAAAGUUUUUCGGUGUGGGAUGAGCUCGCGGCCUAUCAGCUUGUUGGUGGGGUAAUGGCCUACCAAGGCGUCGACGGGUAGCCGGCCUGAGAGGGUGUACGGCCACAUUGGGCCUGAGGUGCGGCCCAGACUCCUACGGGAGGCAGCAGUGGGGAAUAUUGCACAAUGGGCGCAAGCCUGAUGCAGCGACGCCGCGUGGGGGAUGACGGCCUUCGGGUUGUAAACUCCUUUCGCUAGGGACGAAGCGCAAGUGACGGUACCUGGAGAAGAAGCACCGGCUAACUACGUG